Erinaceus europaeus (western European hedgehog) is the source of this 561-nucleotide long non-coding RNA. RefSeq lists it as uncharacterized. NCBI's taxonomy places the organism in Eukaryota, Metazoa, Chordata, Mammalia, Eulipotyphla, Erinaceidae. The record is from RefSeq and is a predicted model, not a curated record. The transcript has 3 exons.
UUCGCUCUUAUUUUUCUAUCUAUCGGUCAUUUUAAUGGGGAUGUGGAAGGAGAGGAAUUAGACACUUGUGCUGACAUCACAUUCUUACCCAGAGAUCCUGGGUUGCUUUUCUAAAACAAAAGGAAAAAAAAAAAAAGUAAAAGGAGGCAAAAAGAGACACAGAGAGAGAGCUGAAGGAAAGAAGGAAAGACACCACAGUACUCAAAGCUUCCUCCUGUGCUGCGAGAAGGCAUGAAACCCGGGUGCUUGUGCAAAGAAAAGCAGGUUCCAGAUGCCAUCAGGAUGCUGACCAGACUUCCCUGGACUGACGACCCCACCAGUGUGUCCUGGAGCUCCGCUUCCCCAGAGACCCACCCUUCUAGCGAAAGAGAGAGUCAGACUGGGAGUAUGGACCGACCAGUAAACGCCCAUGUUCAGCGGGGAAGCAAUUCCAGAAGCCAGACCUUCCACCUUCUGCAUCCCACAAUGACCUUGGGUCCAUGCUCCCAGAGGGAUAGAGAAUGGGAAAGCUAUUGGGGUUGGGGAUGGGAUAUGGAGACUGGGUGGCAGGAAUUGUGUGGA